This 373-nucleotide ribosomal RNA is filed under the name uncultured bacterium. Its description in RNAcentral is "bacterial SSU rRNA". It matches the Rfam family "Bacterial small subunit ribosomal RNA", at positions 525 to 896 of the family's 1533-position model. The record is from RNAcentral.
ACGGAGGAUGCAAGUGUUAUCCGGAAUCACUGGGCGUAAAGCGUCUGUAGGUGGUCAAAUAAGUCAACUGUUAAAUCUUGAGGCUCAACCUCAAAAUCGCAGUCGAAACUAUUCGACUAAAGUAUAGUAGGGGUAAAGGGAAUUUCCAGUGGAGCGGUGAAAUGCGUAGAGAUUGGAAAGAACACCGAUGGCGAAGGCACUUUACUGGGCUAUUACUGACACUGAGAGACGAAAGCUAGGGUAGCAAAUGGGAUUAGAUACCCCAGUAGUCCUAGCCGUAAACAAUGGAUACUAGAUGUUGAACAGAUCGACCUGUGCAGUAUCAAAGCUAACGCGUUAAGUAUCCCGCCUGGGAAGUAUGCUCGCAAGAGUG